AAGGCUUCAGUACGACCCAGUCAGAACUAUAAGUCUCAAAGCCCCGACGAGUAGGGUGGCGUGCCGGUGCGCGGAGAAGGCCAAGACGUGAGUCAGGCUGGAGCCGCCGGUAGUGCAGAUCUUGGUGGUAGUAGCAAGUACUCUGGUGAACCAACCUGGAGCUGUGAGGUCUGGAUUAGGGUUCCAUGUCAACAGUGAUUGAACAUGGGUGAGUCGAUCCUAAGCCAACUGUGAAAGCAGUGACAUCCCGACAAAGGAGCUUUUCGUGCGCUGCACUUACACCCCCAAAGCCAAGCUCUCAGGUGUAUCUCUCUCUCACACGCAUGCAUAAGGUGUCUGGUGCUGAAUGCGCGCAUACACACAAUGAUCACUUUAAAUAGAGUGAGUGUGUUCGCUAUUCAUAUUACGCUCAAAAGCGUUAAAGAUCGGUGGCUGUCUGUCUUGGAUAAAUAAGAGAGAGAGAGAGAGUGUGGGUGAGCGUGAGUUGCUCUAGCACGGCUUCCUGCGUUGGUUCUAUGUCUGGCGAAAGGGAAUGGGGACUUUGUUCCUUGACCGGUCCCGGCACCCUCGAUUGGCUCUGCCAAUUAAUGGUCCAUGCAAAUGGAACCAGGCCACAGCCGCUGGCAGUCGCCCGAGGAAGAGUUUUCUUUUCUGCUUAACGCACGAGGUCAUCCCUGGAAACAGUUCGGCUGGCGAAAGGGUGCCCCGUUGCGGCAGAGCGCCACGACUGUCGUGCGCGUCUCGGUGUUCCUGCCGGUCCGUGAAGACGUGGUCGAGGGGAAUGCUAUCUUGUAUCAACGAAACGCCUGACAAGUUCGGGACGGACCGUACCCUAUAUCCGCAUCUGGUCUCCAAGGUUCGUAGCCUCUGCAGAGUCAGACACAUGUAGGUAAGGGAAGUCGGCAAACUCGAUCCGUAACUUCGGGAAAAGGAUUGGCUCUGAGGGCCGAGCUGGGCCGGGCCUUGCCUGCAAAGCAGUACCUAUAGUGACCGGAGUUUCAGGAGUGCGAGGGGCUCUAGUAGCUGCUUGUGCGUGUGUGCGUUUGCGCGUGCGCGCGUGUGGGCACGAACGAGUCCACCGCUCCGCUCCAACCACGAACGGCUGUGACGGCAAGGGCUCUGGGCGGGAGCGAUCGAUCCGUUGGCCCCCAGCGCGUCUGGGUGGCGGCGGUGCUCUGUCUGACCCAUACGGCUCCAGCGGCUAGCGGCUAACUCAGAACUGUCAUGGACCAAGGGAAUCCGA
RNAcentral lists this ribosomal RNA (1243 nucleotides) under Niphargus sp. ND175. RNAcentral's name for it is "partial large subunit ribosomal RNA". It matches the Rfam family "Eukaryotic large subunit ribosomal RNA", at positions 1357 to 2137 of the family's 3401-position model. Lineage: Eukaryota; Metazoa; Arthropoda; Malacostraca; Amphipoda; Niphargidae. The record is from RNAcentral.